This 301-nucleotide ribosomal RNA is filed under the name uncultured bacterium. RNAcentral's name for it is "partial 16S ribosomal RNA". It matches the Rfam family "Bacterial small subunit ribosomal RNA", at positions 509 to 809 of the family's 1533-position model. The record is from RNAcentral.
CAGCAGCCACGGGAAUACGUAGGGUGCAAGCGUUGUCCGGAAUUAUUGGGCGUAAAGAGCUCGUAGGCGGUUUGUCGCGUCUGCUGUGAAAUCCCGAGGCUCAACCUCGGGCUUGCAGUGGGUACGGGCAGACUAGAGUGCGGUAGGGGAGAUUGGAAUUCCUGGUGUAGCGGUGGAAUGCGCAGAUAUCAGGAGGAACACCGAUGGCGAAGGCAGAUCUCUGGGCCGUAACUGACGCUGAGGAGCGAAAGCAUGGGGAGCGAACAGGAUUAGAUACCCCAGUAGUCCCUGUCUCUUAUAU